Molecule: non-coding RNA, 107 nt
Organism: Gossypium arboreum
Lineage: Eukaryota; Viridiplantae; Streptophyta; Magnoliopsida; Malvales; Malvaceae
Source: Rfam
AAUCCAUGCAUCGGACAUUUAUGAAUUAAAUCUUUGAAUAGUUCCCAAGAUUUAUAUAGUGUUUAAUCCUCCAAUUUCUAAAACUAUGUGAUGUCAUUUCUAAGCCU